GCGCCCGUAGCUCAAUUGGAUAGAGCGCCAGACUACGGAUCUGGAGGCUAGGGGUUCAAAUCCUCUCGGGCGCACCA
This 77-nucleotide transfer RNA is filed under the name Holosporales bacterium. RNAcentral describes it as "tRNA-Arg". It matches the Rfam family "tRNA". Rfam says of the family: Transfer RNA (tRNA) molecules are approximately 80 nucleotides in length. Lineage: Bacteria; Pseudomonadati; Pseudomonadota; Alphaproteobacteria; Holosporales. The record is from RNAcentral.